This 86-nucleotide transfer RNA is filed under the name Paenibacillus solanacearum. RNAcentral describes it as "tRNA-His". The record is from RNAcentral. Lineage: Bacteria; Bacillati; Bacillota; Bacilli; Caryophanales; Paenibacillaceae.
UCAGCUGCUUGGGACGGGAGGAUGCGGAUCAGGAGCUUAUGGAGCUGCUAGCAUCCGAGGCAUCGUUCGAUUCGGUGGCUGCUGAA